RNAcentral lists this ribosomal RNA (253 nucleotides) under uncultured bacterium. RNAcentral's name for it is "partial 16S ribosomal RNA". It matches the Rfam family "Bacterial small subunit ribosomal RNA", at positions 524 to 776 of the family's 1533-position model. The record is from RNAcentral.
GACGAACCGUACGAACGUUAUUCGGAAUUACUGGGCUUAAAGGGUGCGUAGGCGGCGCGGAAAGUAGGGUGUGAAAUCCCUCGGCUCAACCGAGGAACUGCGCUCUAAACUACCGUGCUCGAGGGAGAUAGAGGUGAGCGGAACUGAGGGUGGAGCGGUGAAAUGCGUUGAUAUCCUCAGGAACACCGGUGGCGAAAGCGGCUCACUGGAUCUCUUCUGACGCUGAGGCACGAAAGCUAGGGUAGCGAACAGG